CUAAUUAAUUUAAAAUUUAAUAAUAGGUCUAUUAGUAAAAAUUUUUUAUUAUUGAAUUUAAAUGUUAUUUUAAAUCUAAGUCCAACUAGCAAAAACUAGACUAUUUGUUUCUUCGCCUGUUUAACAAAAACAACUCUUUUAUUUACCAUUCAAGGUAGGACCUGCUCACUGAUGAUUAAAAGCCGCAGUAUCAUGACUGUGCUAAGGUAGCAUAAUAAUUAGUUGUUUAAUUGACCACUGGAAUGAAGGGUCUGACGAAAGAAUAAUUUUCUUCUUGUUUUUUGAAAUUAAUAAGUAAAUAAAAAAGUUUAUCUACCUUAGAUAGACGAUAAGACCCUAAAACCUUUUAAGAGUGUUACUCUUUUUGCUGGGGAGGCAAAUUAUAUCUCAUAAUUUAAUAUAACAAAAUGAAUGGGUAUACUCAACUUAAAUUAAACCCAAAAAGGUACUUUAGGGAUAACAGCAUAAUUUUUAUAUAGAGUUACUUAUCGACAUAAAAGAUUAUGACCUCGAUGUUGAAUUGAUAUUACUUUUCUAAGCAGCCCUAGAAAUUCGUAGGUCUGUUCGACCUUUAAUUUAUCACAUGAUUUGAGUUCAAACCGGCGUGAGCCAGGUUGGAUUCUAUCUUCUAGUAAACUUGUAUUUAUCUAGUACGUAAGGACUUUUAAAUAAUAA
Molecule: ribosomal RNA, 675 nt
Filed under: Trachelipus rathkii
Lineage: Eukaryota; Metazoa; Arthropoda; Malacostraca; Isopoda; Trachelipodidae
Description: 16S ribosomal RNA
Rfam family: Bacterial large subunit ribosomal RNA (bases 319-631)
Source: RNAcentral